This 336-nucleotide unclassified non-coding RNA is filed under the name soil metagenome. RNAcentral's name for it is "partial contains 5.8S ribosomal RNA, internal transcribed spacer 2, and large subunit ribosomal RNA". The stretch from base 1 to 120 matches the Rfam family "5.8S ribosomal RNA", at positions 35 to 154 of the family's 154-position model. The record is from RNAcentral.
GAUGAAGAACGUAGCGAAAUGCGAUAAGUAAUGUGAAUUGCAGAAUUCAGUGAAUCAUCGAAUCUUUGAACGCACAUUGCGCCCGCCAGUAUUCUGGCGGGCAUGCCUGUUCGAGCGUCAUUUCAACCAUCAAGCCCCAGGCUUGUGUUGGGGACCUGCGGCUGCCGCAGGCCCUGAAAACCAGUGGCGGGCUCGCUGUCACACCGGGCGUAGUAGAUUUUAUCUCGCUCAGGGCGUGCUGCGGGUCCUGGCCGUUAAAAGCCUUUUUUUACCCAAGGUUGACCUCGGAUCAGGUAGGAAGACCCGCUGAACUUAAGCAUAUCAAUAAGCGGAGGA